This 444-nucleotide ribosomal RNA is filed under the name Lactococcus lactis. Its description in RNAcentral is "bacterial SSU rRNA". It matches the Rfam family "Bacterial small subunit ribosomal RNA", at positions 28 to 461 of the family's 1533-position model. The record is from RNAcentral. Lineage: Bacteria; Bacillati; Bacillota; Bacilli; Lactobacillales; Streptococcaceae.
GACGAACGCUGGCGGCGUGCCUAAUACAUGCAAGUUGAGCGCUGAAGGUUGGUACUUGUACCAACUGGAUGAGCAGCGAACGGGUGAGUAACGCGUGGGGAAUCUGCCUUUGAGCGGGGGACAACAUUUGGAAACGAAUGCUAAUACCGCAUAAAAACUUUAAACACAAGUUUUAAGUUUGAAAGAUGCAAUUGCAUCACUCAAAGAUGAUCCCGCGUUGUAUUAGCUAGUUGGUGAGGUAAAGGCUCACCAAGGCGAUGAUACAUAGCCGACCUGAGAGGGUGAUCGGCCACAUUGGGACUGAGACACGGCCCAAACUCCUACGGGAGGCGGCAGUAGGGAAUCUUCGGCAAUGGACGAAAGUCUGACCGAGCAACGCCGCGUGAGUGAAGAAGGUUUUCGGAUCGUAAAAACUCUGUUGGUAGAGAAAGAAACGUUGGUGAG